CAGCCGCCGCGGGAACACGAAGGGGGCUAGCGUUGCUCGGAAUCACUGGGCGUAAAGGGUGCGUAGGCGGGUCUUUAAGUCAGAGGUGAAAUCCUGGAGCUCAACUCCAGAACUGCCUUUGAUACUGAGGAUCUUGAGUUCGGGAGAGGUGAGUGGAACUGCGAGUGUAGAGGUGAAAUUCGUAGAUAUUCGCAAGAACACCAGUGGCGAAGGCGGCUCACUGGCCCGAUACUGACGCUGAGGCACGAAAGCGUGGGGAGCAAACAGGAUUAGAUACCCCCGUAGUCCCUGUCUCUUAUAC
Molecule: ribosomal RNA, 301 nt
Filed under: uncultured bacterium
Lineage: Bacteria
Description: partial 16S ribosomal RNA
Rfam family: Bacterial small subunit ribosomal RNA
Source: RNAcentral